This 612-nucleotide ribosomal RNA is filed under the name Paramecium putrinum. RNAcentral describes it as "eukaryotic LSU rRNA". It matches the Rfam family "Eukaryotic large subunit ribosomal RNA", at positions 1 to 553 of the family's 3401-position model. The record is from RNAcentral. Lineage: Eukaryota; Ciliophora; Oligohymenophorea; Peniculida; Parameciidae.
ACCUGAAAUCAAGCAAGAUCACCGGCUGAACUUAAGCAUAUCAGUAAGCCGAGGAAAAGAAACUAACAAGGAUUGCCUUAGUAGUGGCGAAUGAACCGGCAACAGCUCAAAGUGAAAAUCUGCGGCAUACAGCUGUAGAAUUGUAAUCUAAAGGCCUUUUAGGGAAGUCAUGGUUCUAGCAUAAGUUCCUUGAAAAGGGAGGUCAUAGAGGGUAAAAACCCCGUGUUAGGCUAGGACUGGACGUACCGAAGGGUUCAAAGAGUCGGGUUGUUUGGGAUUGCAGCCCUAAUUUGGAGAUAAACUUCUUCUAAAGCUAAAUAUUUAUGGGAAACCGAUAGCAAACAAGUACUACGAAGGAAAGAUGAAAAGAACUUUGAAAAGAGGGUUAAAAGACUUGAAAUCGUUGAGAAGAAAAGCGGUAGAAGAGAAAUGAUUUCACGAAGCAGUACGGGCUGAUGCGGAGCAAUCCGGGGGUAAGGUACUUAAUAGGGCCUGCCUUUGGAUAAGUAGACGCAUAAGUUCCUUUGCCCAGUGAAGUGCAAGAUGAGAGUCUGUUCGGGGAAAAGUGGUUGGGAGGACUCAGGCCUCGAUGCUUGAAGCCCAGCUAACAUG